This 532-nucleotide ribosomal RNA is filed under the name Escherichia coli. RNAcentral's name for it is "bacterial LSU rRNA". It matches the Rfam family "Bacterial large subunit ribosomal RNA", at positions 1097 to 1632 of the family's 2925-position model. The record is from RNAcentral. Lineage: Bacteria; Pseudomonadati; Pseudomonadota; Gammaproteobacteria; Enterobacterales; Enterobacteriaceae.
GAUGUUGGCUUAGAAGCAGCCAUCAUUUAAAGAAAGCGUAAUAGCUCACUGGUCGAGUCGGCCUGCGCGGAAGAUGUAACGGGGCUAAACCAUGCACCGAAGCUGCGGCAGCGACACUAUGUGUUGUUGGGUAGGGGAGCGUUCUGUAAGCCUGCGAAGGUGUACUGUGAGGUAUGCUGGAGGUAUCAGAAGUGCGAAUGCUGACAUAAGUAACGAUAAAGCGGGUGAAAAGCCCGCUCGCCGGAAGACCAAGGGUUCCUGUCCAACGUUAAUCGGGGCAGGGUGAGUCGACCCCUAAGGCGAGGCCGAAAGGCGUAGUCGAUGGGAAACAGGUUAAUAUUCCUGUACUGGGUGUUACUGCGAAGGGGGGACGGAGAAGGCUAUGUUUGCCGGGCGACGGUUGUCCCGGUUUAAGCGUGUAGGCUGGUUUUCCAGGCAAAUCCGGAAAAUUAAGGCUUAGGCGUGAUGACGAGGCACUACGGUGCUGAAGCAACAAAUGCCCUGCUUCCAGGAAAAGCCUCUAAGCAUCAGG